UACACUCCUACGGGAGGCAGCAGUGGGGAAUUUUGGACAAUGGGCGAAAGCCUGAUCCAGCAAUGCCGCGUGAGUGAAGAAGGCCUUCGGGUUGUAAAGCUCUUUUGUCAGGGAAGAAACGGUGAAAGCUAAUAUCUUUUGCUAAUGACGGUACCUGAAGAAUAAGCACCGGCUAACUACGUGCCAGCAGCCGCGGUAAUACGUAGGGUGCAAGCGUUAAUCGGAAUUACUGGGCGUAAAGCGUGCGCAGGCGGUUUUGUAAGUCUGAUGUGAAAUCCCCGGGCUCAACCUGGGAAUUGCAUUGGAGACUGCAAGGCUAGAAUCUGGCAGAGGGGGGUAGAAUUCCACGUGUAGCAGUGAAAUGCGUAGAUAUGUGGAGGAACACCGAUGGCGAAGGCAGCCCCCUGGGUCAAGAUUGACGCUCAUGCACGAAAGCGUGGGGAGCAAACAGGAUUAGAUACCCCGGUAGUCCC
Molecule: ribosomal RNA, 473 nt
Filed under: uncultured organism
Description: partial 16S ribosomal RNA
Rfam family: Bacterial small subunit ribosomal RNA
Source: RNAcentral